UACGGAGGGUGCAAGCGUUAUCCGGAUUCACUGGGUUUAAAGGGUGCGUAGGUGGGCAGGUAAGUCAGUGGUGAAAUCUGCGAGCUUAACUCGGAAACUGCCGUUGAUACUAUUUGUCUUGAAUAUUGUGGAGGUAAGCGGAAUAUGUCAUGUAGCGGUGAAAUGCUUAGAUAUGACAUAGAACACCAAUUGCGAAGGCAGCUUACUACACAGUUAUUGACGCUGAGGCACGAAAGCGUGGGGAUCAAACAGG
RNAcentral lists this ribosomal RNA (253 nucleotides) under uncultured bacterium. RNAcentral's name for it is "partial 16S ribosomal RNA". It matches the Rfam family "Bacterial small subunit ribosomal RNA", at positions 524 to 776 of the family's 1533-position model. The record is from RNAcentral.